Molecule: long non-coding RNA, 1099 nt
Filed under: Pan troglodytes (chimpanzee)
Lineage: Eukaryota; Metazoa; Chordata; Mammalia; Primates; Hominidae
Description: lincRNA
Source: RNAcentral
AUGGAUUCAGAAACUACUUAGGAGAGGCAGGCAGUCCAAGGCUGAUGCCCAAAGAAGCCAUCAAGACCCGUGCUACUUCCAGCUCCUUCUGUCCUCAUAAUCAUAGAUGAUUGCUCCACAUCCAGCACCUAACACCAGUACUCAGUUAAAUUUUUUGCUGAAUAAAUCAAUGAAUGGAGAGGUAAAGAGGAACCAGAAGUUGGGGUUACAGAAGUCACUGAUGGAAGAGUUUCAAGAUAGUAGAAGUGGUCAGCCCUGUUAAGUGACAAGCCAAGGACUGAAGAAAGACUGGCAGAUUUGGCAAUCAGAUGAAGUGACCUGACCAAAGAGCAGCUUGUGUGAAGUAGUGAGGACAGGCGCUGGUCUGCGACUGGUUUAGGAGGAAAUGGAAAUGAGGAAGAAGAGAUAGGAAAGUGGAGAUUAUAUGAUGACAAGUAUCAAGAUAAAAAUGAACACAUUUGGCCUGCUACCUGAAUUUUUUAAAUCGGCUCACCAAAAAAUAUCAGGCUUAUUGAAAUAUUGGAAUAUCUGAUGAAGUUUCCUCUUAUCUUUGAGCUGUUUGGGUUUGGGUAAAACUUCAAUGCUUAAAAUUCACGUCUACAACUAGCAGGCAGAAACUUAAAGUCCAGAACCAUUAAGGGGUUUAAUAAUGAGUCUCGCUCAGUUUCCAGGCUGGAGUGUAAUGGCGUGAUCUUGGCUCACUGCAACCUCUGCCUCCCAGCUUCAAGUGAUUCCCCUGCUUUAGCCUCCCAAGCAGCUGGGACUACAGGCAUGCACCAGCAUGGCCGGCUAAUUUUUUUUUAUAUUUUAGUACAGAUGGGGUUUAACCAUGUUGGCCAGGAUGAUCUUGAUCUCCUGACCUCGUGAUCUGCCCACCUCAGCCUCCCAAAGUGCUAGGAUUACAGGCGUGAGCCACCUUGCCCGGCCUUCUAUUCCUUUUUCUAAUGCAUUUGCCCCAGCUAUCUGUAUAGCCUGCAAUCUGGUAGAUGGACCACAGGGAAACCACUGCAGCAAACUAAAAGUGUCUAUCUCAGAUCCUUCCACCACCAUCAUUUCCAAAAUCACCGUCACUAUCUCCACCACCAUGACCUUUACCACC